UCGAGAAUCUUCGGCAAUGGGCGCAAGCCUGACCGAGCGACACCGCGUGCGGGAUGAAGGCCUUCGGGUUGUAAACCGCUGUCGUAGGGGAGGAAGGUCUGGUGUAUAGCCAGGCUUGACCGAUCCUAGGAGGAAGGGCCGGCUAAUCUCGUGCCAGCAGCCGCGGUAAUACGAGAGGCCCAAACGUUAUUCGGAUUUACUGGGCUUAAAGAGUUCGUAGGCGGCGCGGAAAGUAGGGUGUGAAAGCCCUCGGCUUAACCGAGGAAUUGCGCCCUAAACUGUCGCGCUCGAGGAACCUAGAGGUGAGCAGAACUGAUGGUGGAGCGGUGAAAUGCGUUGAUAUCAUCAGGAAUACCGGAGGCGAAGGCGGCUCACUGGGGGUUAUCUGACGCUGAGGAACGAAAGCCAGGGGAGCAAACGGGAUUAGAUACCCCGGUAGUCCUGGCCGUAAACGAUGAGCACUGGACCGGAGGACUGCACAGUUUUCCGGUCGUAGCGAAAGUGUAAGUG
This 510-nucleotide ribosomal RNA is filed under the name uncultured Planctomycetota bacterium. RNAcentral's name for it is "bacterial SSU rRNA". It matches the Rfam family "Bacterial small subunit ribosomal RNA", at positions 355 to 866 of the family's 1533-position model. The record is from RNAcentral. Lineage: Bacteria; Pseudomonadati; Planctomycetota.